GACGAACGCUGGCGGCGUGCUUAACACAUGCAAGUCGAACGGAAAGGCCUGCUUUCCCUUGUGGAUUGCGGGCACUCGAGUGGCGAACGGGUGAGUAACACGUGAGUGAUCUGCCCCCAACUUGGGUAUAAGCCUGGGAAACUGGGUCUAAUUCCCGAUAGGACUGCAGGGUGGUGCCUGUGGUGGAAAACGAUUUUCUAGUGGUUGGGGAUGAGCUCGCGGCCUAUCAGCUUGUUGGUGGGGUAAUGGCCUACCAAGGCGGCGACGGGUAGCCGGCCUGAGAGGGUGGACGGCCACAUUGGGACUGAGAUACGGCCCAGACUCCUACGGGAGGCAGCAGUGGGGAAUAUUGCACAAUGGGCGGAAGCCUGAUGCAGCGACGCCGCGUGGGGGAUGACGGCCUUCGGGUUGUAAACUCCUUUCGACCGCGAGGAAGCCACCUGGUUGGAAGGGUGGUGACGGUAGUGGUAGAAGAAGCACCGGCUAACUACGUG
This 494-nucleotide ribosomal RNA is filed under the name uncultured bacterium. RNAcentral describes it as "partial 16S ribosomal RNA". It matches the Rfam family "Bacterial small subunit ribosomal RNA", at positions 28 to 507 of the family's 1533-position model. The record is from RNAcentral.